GUGCUCAUUUUGACAGCACUUACACUAAAAUUGGAAGGAUACAGAGAUUAACAUGGCCCCUGCACAAGAACAUAAUUUGUCCCUGAAACAAAUACUUCAUAAAA
Molecule: small nuclear RNA, 104 nt
Organism: Suricata suricatta (meerkat)
Lineage: Eukaryota; Metazoa; Chordata; Mammalia; Carnivora; Herpestidae
Source: Ensembl